This 301-nucleotide ribosomal RNA is filed under the name uncultured bacterium. RNAcentral describes it as "partial 16S ribosomal RNA". It matches the Rfam family "Bacterial small subunit ribosomal RNA", at positions 509 to 808 of the family's 1533-position model. The record is from RNAcentral.
CAGUAGCCACGGUAAUACGAAGGGUGCAAGCGUUAAUCGGAAUUACUGGGCGUAAAGCGUGCGUAGGCGGUGAGUUAAGUCUGCUGUGAAAUCCCCGGGCUUAACCUGGGAACUGCGCUCGUGACUGCACAGCUAGAGUAUGGCAGAGGGGGGUGGAAUUCCACGUGUAGCAGUGAAAUGCGUAGAGAUGUGGAGGAACACCGAUGGCGAAGGCAGCCCCCUGGGCCAAUACUGACGCUCAUGCACGAAAGCGUGGGAGCAAACAGGAUUAGAUACCCCUGUAGUCCCUGUCUCUUAUACC